GAAUUUUCCCCAGUUUUGGGAGUCUAGAAGUAGGGUUUCCAUUUUGAAAAAAGGAGAAUGCCGUUUCAUAUCAAGGUGGAAAGGAAGGACAUUAUUGCCAUUGAGAAUGUGCAAAGAUAAACUAUGAAGAUAUUGCCAGACUGGCUGUGUUUCACCAAUUUGAAAAUUAGACAACUGGAAGAAAGAAAAUAAAGCAG
Molecule: non-coding RNA, 197 nt
Organism: Chiloscyllium plagiosum (whitespotted bambooshark)
Lineage: Eukaryota; Metazoa; Chordata; Chondrichthyes; Orectolobiformes; Hemiscylliidae
Source: RefSeq, a predicted model, not a curated record